This is a non-coding RNA of Cyanistes caeruleus (blue tit), 907 nucleotides long. Lineage: Eukaryota; Metazoa; Chordata; Aves; Passeriformes; Paridae. The record is from RefSeq and is a predicted model, not a curated record.
GACUGGGCUUCUUUUCAACAGCGGCCUCCGGCACCUUGUCUGUUGUUAUGGGAAUGAGGUUUUACAACUCCAAAAAGGCAAUGCCCGGGAUAAUUGCCGGUGCCAGUUUACUGAUGGUUGGACGGCUUGGAUUGCAGAUGAUGGAAAAAACCUAUUAAGUCAUAAAUCUGCAUCAAGUGACUUGAAGACACAUGACUGAGAAGCCCAAGAAUGCAACUGCUGAAAUGUGCUGCACAUAAGUGGAAAAGACACUGCUACCUGUGCAUUGUAUUUUUCAUAUCCUAAUGCACACAGGUUGUGUUUUUAAAGGACCGACAUAGAGAGCCCUUGUAUUUGUCUUAACAUUUUCUGCACUGAAAGCAAGCAAGAAAAUAGAGUACAGCAUUAGUUUAGCUUCUGGUCCUGCAGCUUACUGUCAGCAAAGACCUGCUGGCCUUUGCAUUCAGAUAGUUGCAGGAUUGAAGCUUAAUUGCACAUCUAACUUGUCCUUCUGAAAUCCUGUAUACCUCUAAAACCAGGGGAGAGGAGUUGCAAUUUGUCACUAAUUAAUUAAUUAAACUGAGUAAUUAAUGCAAUAAACGUGCUUAUGAUGUUCCAUCUCCCUUUCCAUGGCAGUUUAUCCAUUCACAGUGUUUGUCAGUCAGGGAGUUUGUUCUCCCAGCACUGCGUGUUGGAACCUGGUCCCACAAAACACAAUCACAGAGCCAGCUGUCAAGGCUCUGCUGUAAUGCAAUAAAUGCAUACCCAUGCCUUGCAAUCACCUGUAAGCUCAGCUAUAUGUCAUUCAUUUCACUUUUACAGAUUACUACUCAUAAAUCAAAAAUAUGCUUUAUUAGGUAAUGCUGAAUUGUAGGCACAGCUUUAUUAAAAUGUUAUUUUAAAUAAAGUAAUAAAUUAUUAUUGCAAA